RNAcentral lists this microRNA precursor (126 nucleotides) under Myotis lucifugus (little brown bat). RNAcentral's name for it is "mir-9193 microRNA precursor family". The record is from Rfam by way of RNAcentral. Lineage: Eukaryota; Metazoa; Chordata; Mammalia; Chiroptera; Vespertilionidae.
UGUGCACUGGAGGGGUCCCUUGGCCUGGCCUGUGCCCUCUCACAAUCCAGGACCCUUGGGGGAUGUCGGAGAGCUGGUUUCAGCCUGAUCUCCGCAGGCCAGGCCAAGGGACCCCACCAGUGCACG